GAUGAAGAACGUAGCGAAAUGCGAUACGUAAUGUGAAUUGCAGAUUUCAGUGAAUCAUCGAAUCUUUGAACGCACAUUGCGCCCCUUGGUAUUCCAUGGGGCAUGCCUGUUCGAGCGUCAUUUGUACCUUCAAGCUUUGCUUGGUGUUGGGUGUUUGUCUCGCCUUUGCGUGUAGACUCGCCUUAAAAUAAUUGGCAGCCGGCGUAUUGAUUUCGGAGCGCAGUACAUCUCGCGCUUUGCACUCAUAACGACAGCGUCCAAAAGUACAUUUUACACUCUUGACCUCGGAUCAGGUAGGGAUACCCGCUGAACUUAAGCAUAUCAAUAAGCGGAGGA
Molecule: unclassified non-coding RNA, 336 nt
Filed under: soil metagenome
Description: partial contains 5.8S ribosomal RNA, internal transcribed spacer 2, and large subunit ribosomal RNA
Rfam family: 5.8S ribosomal RNA (bases 1-120)
Source: RNAcentral